Long non-coding RNA from Harpia harpyja (harpy eagle), 337 nucleotides. RefSeq lists it as uncharacterized. Lineage: Eukaryota; Metazoa; Chordata; Aves; Accipitriformes; Accipitridae. The transcript has 2 exons. The record is from RefSeq and is a predicted model, not a curated record.
CCCUCUGCUUGUCGUUCCUCACCUCCUCCUGUAUCUCCAGUUAACCAACCCCUACUCAGCAAUGAGGUACCACAUAGAAGAGCUGCAAAGGAAAGGUAGUUGGACUGAGAACUGUGCCAACACAAAUGAAUAACUGAUGAUGAGAAACCAAGUGGGAAGAGGAAAUAAAUAAUGGAGUACCUCCCGGCAUAACAGAAGAUCUCCUUGCAAAUCUUUAUCCAUGUGAAAGGGCAUGUGGUCUUGUUUGGGGUUCUUGUUUUUAAAUUUUGAGUAAUCCCACCGAUAUUACCUUUCACAAGAUUGUAUUUCAUAGAAUAAAAGCAUAUCUAGUAACUUC